GUUGAUCCUGCCGGAGGAUACUGCUAUUGGAAUUCGAUUAAGUCAUGCGAGUUUCUGGUUGCUUGCAACCAGGGCGAACCGCUGAGUAUCACGUAGUUAAUCUGCCCUUAGGUCGAGGAUAACGUCGGGAAACUGACGGUAAUACUUGAUAGGGGAUUUGUUCUGGAACGACUUUUCCUUUAAAUUCGAGCCUAAGGAUGGGACUGCGGUGAAUUAGGUUGAUGUUAAGGUAAAAGCUUAACAUGCCGAUAAUUCAUAGGGGCCGUGAGAGCGGGGGCCCCCAGAUGGGUUCUUAGACACUAACCCAGACCCUACGGCUGCAGCAGAUGCGAAACCUCCACAAUGCGCGAAAGCGUGAUGGGGGAAUUCCAAGUGCCGGCGCAAAACGUCGGCUUUUCUAGAGCUUAAGUAACUUUAGGAAUAAGGGGUGGGUAAGACCGCUGCCAGCCGCCGCGGUAAUAGCGGCGCCCCAAGUGGUAUCCACGAAUAUUGGGCUUAAAGCGUUCGUAGCCUGUGCGAAAAGUCUCCUGUGAAAUCCUGUAGAUGACUAUAGGGCGUGCAGGGGAUACUAUCGUGCUUGAGACUGGGAAGGGCUGGAGGUACUCCUAGGGUAAUGGUGGAAUAUGAUAAUCCUGGGGGGACCACCUGUGGCGAAAGCGUCCAGCUGGAACAGUUCUGACGGUGAGGAACGAAAGCUAGGGGAGCGACCCGGAUUAGAUACCCGGUUAGUCCUAGCCGUAAACGAUGCUCGUUUGGUAUUGGCAAUCCUAUGUAGAUUGCCAGUGCCGAAGGGAAACCGUUAAACGAGCCGCCUGGGGAGUACGGUCGCAAGGCUGAAACUUAAAGGAAUUGGCGGGGGAGCACCACAAGGGGUGCGGCCUGCGGUUCAAUUGGAUAAUACGCCGCAAACCUUACCAGGAGCGACAGCAGAAUGAUGGUCAGUCUGAAGGGCUUACCUGACGCGCUGAGAGGUGUUGCAUGGCCGACGUCAGCUCGUGCCGUGAGGUGUCCAGUUAAGUCUGGUAACGAGCGAGACCCGUGCCUUAUGUUGCAAGAACGUUCUCCGGAGCGUUCGCACUCAUAAGGGAUCGCUGGCGAUAAGUCAGAUGAAAGGGCGGGCUACGUUAGGUCAGUAUGGCCCGAAUCUCCUGGGCUACACGCGGGCAACAAUGGCAAGGACAAUGAGAUGCUACUCCGAAAGGAGACGCAAAUCCCCAAAACCUUGUCCUAGUAUAGAUCGAGGGUUGCAACUCACCCUCGUGACAACGGAAUCCCUAGUAAUCGAAGUUUAGCAUACUUUGAUGAAUACGUCCCUGCUCCUUGCACACACCGCCCAUCAAACCACCUGAGUUGGCUUUAGGUGAGGCUCUAUCAUCAGGUAGAGUCAAACCCGGGGUCAGCAAGGGGGGUUAAGUUGUAACAAGGUA
This 1427-nucleotide ribosomal RNA is filed under the name metagenome. Its description in RNAcentral is "bacterial SSU rRNA". It matches the Rfam family "Archaeal small subunit ribosomal RNA". The record is from RNAcentral.